CUGCUGCUGCCGCGCCGCCGGAGCAUGAUUUCUGUUCUCGUCCUGAAGCAAAGUUCUUAACGCGAGGUAAUAUUUCUGAGUUAGCGGAGUCUGUAACCUGAAGCGUAUGUAACCUGAAGCAUAUGUAACCCGAGGUACCACUGUACACUUUCUCCUUGUCAUGCAUAAUUUUAUAAACUUAUUUUCAUGUGGUCUCUUGUUCACCAAACUAUGUUACAACAGGGCAAGGGAAACGAGAUUUAUGUGAAGAGUUUUAGAUACUUAAGGUGUGGGAAUCCCCCAUCGAUACAUGAAUGAUGAUGAUAUACUGUUUCACCAUCUAAUUUAUUUUGGAUUAUGUCAUAUUGAGACAUUACAUAAAGGACACUGUGCCACAAAUAAGGACUCUGAAUGUUCACCCCCCCCCCCCAAAAAAGGGUCAGCGUGUCAAAGAUCUUAGUGCAGCGACCCAGCUCCUCGCCCAAGGUGGGUAUGUAGGGGGAAGGGUGGCUGAAGGGGGAGCACAAACACAGGAAAGGCAUCCUACUGAGAGAUGGUUUUGAACCGGAGCUUGCAUCAUUAGUCUACCUCAUUACCCUGUCUUUACUGCCAAAGGCAAAACAGGUGCAAGUUUGCCAAACGGGAAGAAAUUGCAGCCUUGUUAUGGGAAUCCAUACUUCAGGGAAAUCUUUUUUUAAAAAAUCCCUCCUAACAUAUUGAAAAACUGCCUAGUUAUGCAGACAGGAAAAGCAUAAGAAUUCAGAAUUCAAUAUGGUAUGUUGUUAACCACUGACACUGUCUGGGGGUCAACCCCUUUUCAGCAGCAUUCGCUCUCCCCUCCCCAGCACUGACACAUGGAAUGUGUGGCCUAGCCUUGAAAUCUGCCAGAAAAGCCUCUGGUCCACUGGGCCAGUCGUGUCCCAUGAUCCUCGUUAUGACUUCGCAAUAGAUUCUGACUGCGCUGUGGUGAUCAAAGAUGACUUGGCAGAGACUGUAUACAGUAUAGGUUCACAUGCCUGCGUUAUUCACUCAUGAAGUGGGGUGGGGGGCUGAAAGGAGUCAUUUUUACAUCAAGAGAGGGAUGUGAGUGAGGGGAAUUAAGCAAUCCACGCACAUUCCUAGGGAUAGGGGAGAAAUCUGAUUCGGUUCAUCAUUUAAGGACAACCUGCUUAUUUUGCACUUGCUGAAACAAGACGAAAAACCAAAACACAACCAUUCUUUGAAAUUUGCACUUCCCUGAAUUUUGCGAAGCAGUUUUUCAGCGAAGUCAUACGUGCAAAAAUGCAUUUAAUGGGGCAAAGGAUUUGUAAAGUGCAUAUGUUAUUGAAAACAAUAUACUUGGAGAAACAGUGUUGCAAAAAAAAAAAAAAAGGCAAAAUGGCAGACCAAAACUUGUUUUAUUUUAUUUAUUUGGAGCCAAAGCAGUUCUAAAAGCAGCUUACAUACAAUCAAAACAUGAUACUUAAUACCCACAGGUAUGCAAUCUAAAAUAAAACAUGACACACAAGAGAAAAGUGACAGGGAGGUAAGAGGAACAUCAUAAUCAAAUCCAAGCACUGAUUUCUAAACAGUUAUUCCUACAAUGCCCAUCUGGCACAGCUGAGUGCCAAGAGGUCCCGGGUACAGAUGGGCCUCCAGCAGUGGCAGACCUUGAGGUCUCAAAUUUCAGCGGUGCCCUGUGUGACACCAAAAUUCGGUACCCCUUCCAUCUCUUGCCUUCCAUUCUACAACAUAAUUGUGGCACCCCCUUGGCUCCACGCCCAGUGCAACCAAACUGGCCGCACUCCCUUAAAUCUACCUCCAACAAAGCUGACAGAGCGAGCCUCCUGCUAUCUAUCUCUCCCACUGAGGCAGCCUGAUGGAAAGGCUGCCCCCAGGUGGCAGUUUAGGGGAGAGGAGGUCUGAUGGAGCUGGCCUGUCAGAGAGGAGCUGAUGGAGUGAGCCCUGCUUCCCAGCUCUGCCCCUAGGAGAUAGUUUAUUUGAUACAUUUAUUUCAUAAAACUCAAUACACUACUUGACUGCAAAAAUUUCAAAGCAGUUUACAAAAAGACAAAGCAAUAGAAUCAAGGGGAAAUUACAACACAUUACAACACACAAUAAACACACACACACACAAUAAACACACACACACACACACACACACACACAUAAACACACACACAAUUAACAAACACACACAAGAAACACUCACAAGAAACACACACAAGAAACACACAAUAAAAAGUUACAAUACUAAAAUGAAUUCACACCAGCAUUUCUAAGCAUCUACGUAGGCUUGCCUAAACAAGGAUGUUUUUAGCAGGUGUUAAGAAUACAACAUCAGAGCCUGCUGGAUAUCAAGUUCCAAAGGUGCUGAGUUACUAAAUGAUUGAGUUAAGGGCUUUGUAUACUAAUAGUAACACCUUGAACCAGCAUGGCUGUGAGUCCUAGAAGACCUGCUCCCUGCUUUGCAAGCCUUUUCCCACGUUGUCUGGGAGGCUGCUGAACAGACUCUUGCGCUCAGGUAUUGUUUAGCAGGGGGUUGUUGGGGUUGUUAAUGCUGUUAUUUAUGUUUUUUGUAUUUUAUUUUAGAUGUUAUUAUUUAUGUGGAAAUUGUUUCAAUUUGGUUGUUUAUUUUUAUUUUUUCAUUGUUUAUGACUAGUUUUGUUAUACUUUUAAUUAUGCUUUUUUUUCAAGUAGUAAGCUGCCUUGAGCAUGGUUUUAAACUGUGGAAGGGCAGCAUACAAACCUGUAUGUGUGUAUCUUGGCACUGUAGCAGAUUGGCAACCAGUGCAGAUCUCUGAGCACUGAGUGUUAUAUGCUAACAAGGCAUAUAGAUGAGUUAGUUUGUCAUUUUUUACCUUUAUAGAUUUACCCUUGUUCUAAACUAAUAAUUGCUCACUGUCUACAUUUUACUACACAAGGUACUGCUGCAUGUAUGCGUUCUCUUCACAUUAUAUUUACCUUAUAUGGAAAUAGAUGUUGACUGGAAUCUUGUUUUAUUUAAUUUUGUUAGCUCAGUGAUUAAGCCCCCCUGGGGGAGGAAAUGUGAUGUAUACUGGAACUAUGUCCGAAUGUUUACCAACUGUUGAUUUAUGGGUGGAUUCUUCUUCUAUCAAGAUUCAAAUAUAUGUAUGUUCAUUAAGAAAAAGAUCACUCCUGUUAUUUUCAUGGUUGUUUAGAUUUCUAACUGUAUAAUGGUUACACUGCAUUUCGCUAUUUUAUCACCACCCUCCUUGUUGUGUUGACAGGGCCUCCUGUGAGCAAUUAUGUUGCAGCAUUCUGCACUAAGUGCAGCUUCCGGCUCAAGUGCGAGGGAAUCCAGGUGGAAAUUGCUGAAAUGUCCAGGAACUAAAAAGAAGCUCAGCAACUUUUGUGUCUGGAUUUUCACUUUUUGAAAUAUUGCAAUCAUACCUUAGGGAACAGGCUGGUUAUGGGGCCUCAAUAUGCAACAAGCACCACAAGAC
This 3425-nucleotide long non-coding RNA is filed under the name Podarcis lilfordi (Lilford's wall lizard). The record is from RNAcentral. Lineage: Eukaryota; Metazoa; Chordata; Lepidosauria; Squamata; Lacertidae.